Molecule: ribosomal RNA, 491 nt
Filed under: uncultured bacterium
Lineage: Bacteria
Description: partial 16S ribosomal RNA
Rfam family: Bacterial small subunit ribosomal RNA
Source: RNAcentral
GUGAACGCUGGCGGUCGGCCUAACACAUGCCAGUCGAACGGCAGCACCGUAAGCGCUUGCUCUUACGGGUGGCGAGUGGCGGACGGGUGAGGAAUACAUCGGAAUCUACUUUUUCGUGGGGGAUAACGUAGGGAAACUUACGCUAAUACCGCAUACGACCUACGGGUGAAAGCAGGGGAUCUUCGGACCUUGCGCGAUUGAAUGAGCCGAUGUCGGAUUAGCUAGUUGGCGGGGUAAAGGCCCACCAAGGCGACGAUCCGUAGCUGGUCUGAGAGGAUGAUCAGCCACACUGGAACUGAGACACGGUCCAGACUCCUACGGGAGGCAGCAGUGGGGAAUAUUGGACAAUGGGCGCAAGCCUGAUCCAGCCAUACCGCGUGGGUGAAGAAGGCCUUCGGGUUGUAAAGCCCUUUUGUUGGGAAAGAAAAGCAGCAGGUUAAUACCCCGCUGUUCUGACGGUACCCAAAGAAUAAGCACCGGCUAACUUCGUG